UAUAGCCAGUGGUCAGAUUUCUGAGUAUAUUGGGCGCAAAGGGUCUUUAAUGAUCGCCACCAUUCCUAAUGUCAUCGGCUAGCUUGCCAUAUCAUUUGCCAAACUGCUUUGUUUCUUCCGCAAUUUUUAGCUGGUGCCGAAUACGGAUUUGGUCAAAGGUCCUCAGCCCAUGGAAGUAGCUCAAGUGGAGCCGGCGAGUACAGUUGAUAAUCAGCCAGUGGAGGAGCCUCCAACAAUGAAAUUCACUUGGACAAUUGAGAGCUUUUCUAGGUUGCACACCAAAAAGCACUACUCUGACAUGUUCAUCGUCGGUGGUUAUAAAUGGCGGAUACUGAUUUUUCCUAAAGGAAACAAUGUGGACUACUUGUCAAUGUAUUUGGAUGUAGCGGAUUCGCAGGCUUUGCCUUAUGGUUGGAGUAGAUAUGUG
This is a long non-coding RNA of Rosa chinensis, 427 nucleotides long. RefSeq lists it as uncharacterized. The record is from RefSeq and is a predicted model, not a curated record. The transcript is spliced from 5 exons. Lineage: Eukaryota; Viridiplantae; Streptophyta; Magnoliopsida; Rosales; Rosaceae.